This is a long non-coding RNA of Callorhinus ursinus (northern fur seal), 486 nucleotides long. RefSeq lists it as uncharacterized. The record is from RefSeq and is a predicted model, not a curated record. NCBI's taxonomy places the organism in Eukaryota, Metazoa, Chordata, Mammalia, Carnivora, Otariidae.
UCUUCCCCAGAACAGUUAUGAUUACCUCUUAACAUUGCCUCGUGCUUUUCUUUAUUGAAGUGUUUUAUAAUAAAAGGAAAGUAUAGCCAGAACUUCGAUGACUUGCCAACAUGACAAACCAAGCCUGCUAUACAAAAACCACAUGACUUCUACCUCAAUCAAACUACAUAAGUAAGAAGAAUUGCAAUGUCAUCAAACUUUCUAGCCCAACCUUUUAGAGGGGAGGAAAAAGAAGGACAUCAACCCAUAUUAAAGUGGAAAAAUUCUCUAUGGCGUUCAUAGGAAGUUUCAGCUACAAGAAGAGAAAACUGAGAUUCAGUGAAGUUACUUGCCUACGAUCACAAUGACAGUUAAGUAAUGGAACCAGGAUUUAAACCUGGGAUUCAUUGUAUUGCUGAAUAACCUUACCAUGACAUGAUAAAGAUGAAGAAAUGUUUAUGAUAAAUACCCUGCACAAAAGAUGAAUUUAUUCAUUAAGCUACAUAG